GCCGGCCGAGGUUCUGGCCGGCCAGCGCUUUCUCGAGGUGUUCGAGAUGCGGCGCCCGCGCUCGGUGCGCGACGCCGGCG
This 80-nucleotide transfer RNA is filed under the name Marinovum algicola. RNAcentral describes it as "tRNA-Glu". Lineage: Bacteria; Pseudomonadati; Pseudomonadota; Alphaproteobacteria; Rhodobacterales; Roseobacteraceae. The record is from RNAcentral.